Molecule: non-coding RNA, 89 nt
Filed under: Pelosinus sp. UFO1
Lineage: Bacteria; Bacillati; Bacillota; Negativicutes; Selenomonadales; Sporomusaceae
Also listed under: 1 other name
Description: c-di-GMP-I riboswitch aptamer
Rfam family: c-di-GMP-I riboswitch aptamer
About the family: GEMM was predicted in a large-scale screen for bacterial structured RNA regulatory elements. Genes associated with GEMM are involved in a diverse array of functions, including chemotaxis regulation, signal transduction, secretion and chitin.
Source: Rfam by way of RNAcentral
CAUAAAAUUAGGCAAACUUACUGAAAGGUGAGGGCGCAAAGCCAUGGGUCUAAGGACUGUAGGAAGUCUAUGAUUGCCAGGUUACCAUU